This is a long non-coding RNA of Piliocolobus tephrosceles (Ugandan red Colobus), 2945 nucleotides long. The record is from Ensembl. Lineage: Eukaryota; Metazoa; Chordata; Mammalia; Primates; Cercopithecidae.
AUAAUAAAUAAUAACAGAGAGAACAUACUGUUAUGGAAACAUAGCAAUAAAGGGAGUAAAUGUUUUUUAUCAAUAAAAAAUAAUAACAGUUGUAAUUAUAAAUAUGGAAAGACCUAUAAAGAGCAACCUAUGGGUCAUAACAAUGACAACAUAUAUACUAACAUCAUGAAUGUUAAAAAUGAAAAAGAUUUAAAAAAAUUUUAUUUUGCUUAUAAUAAAAACAAAUUUUAUGAUAUAUAUAAUGAUUAUGUAUAUUUAAUUAAUAGUAAGUUAAAACAAAAAUGUUCCAAAAAUGAAAUAAAUGAAUGUACUAAAAUUAUAAAAUAUAUUACAAACAGUACGCCAUUGCUAUGCUUCAUAAAAUCGAAAACAAAUCAUUUUGUGGAUCACAGUUUUUAUAGCAAUGGAUUUGAACGGGAUCCUCAUGAAAGUCACGGUUUUUAUUCUAGUAAUAAAAAACACAAAGAUAAAAACGUAUAUCAGUCUGAUAAUACAUACCAAUGUAGCUAUACACAUCAGUACCUGAGUAACAACGAACAUGAUCGAAAUAAUAAACAUAAUAAUAAUAAUAAUAAUAAUAAUACAUACAACAUCCAUAAUAUUGAAAAGACCAUAAUAAACAAAGAAGAGGACAUAAAAAGGAAUAAAAAUAAUAUUUGUUUUAAUUAUUUAUUUAACAACAAUUUAUAUAAAUUUAUUACAAAAUUAAAAAAAUGUGAUAUAUGGAAUUAUAAAGAAAAGAAUAUUAAUAAAAAAUACAUGAACUAUUUUUUAGUAUACCCAAUUGUACAUACGAACAAAAAAAAUGUAAAAAAUGAAACUGAUAAUAAUUCGUUAUGUAACGAUGAUUAUUACUACGAUUCGAAUGUCUUUUUUUACUUUAUACAUAAAAAUAAUAAAGCAUUUUUUUUAAAUAUUUUUAAAAAAAUAAAUUACAACAUUUUGACGUCACAAGAAAUAAAUGGAUUAUUAAUGGUGUUAACAGUUUUGCAUCAUAAUAAUAUUAAUUUGUCAGGAGAUAAAAACAAUAUCAUAAGGAGUAUGUCAAAUACAGAUAUCAUCAAUAAUGGUGAUAUUACGUAUAAAAACAAAGAAUAUGUAAACAAAAAAUCAUUUUCAAACAUGUUUACAAGUAUAUAUAAAUCUAUAGUUAAUAGGAUACAUGAUUUUUCUUUUUUUUAUUUAUAUGAUUAUCUUAUAUUUAUGUGUAUUAAUACGAUCAAAAACAGAGAAGAAUAUAAUGUUAUAAUAAAUGAAUUGUCAAAUUAUAUGAACAUUAUAAACAAACUUAAUAACAGUAACAGUAGUGGUAAUACCAAUGAAGAGCCUGAGCCUGAGCCUGAACUUGAUGAAUUUAUAUUAAAUCAUGACGAGUAUAACAAAAGUAGCAUAAACUACGACAAAACUGUUUUAAAUGUUAAUUCGAAGUGUAGUGGUAAUGAUAUGAUGGAUGGAGUAGGUGUUAACAAUGGUAGUGGUAAAGUGUGUUAUGAAGAUCACACAUUUCACAAAACGAGAGAAAAACAAAAUACAAGUCCAUAUAACAUAAGCUUGGAGGAUAAUAAUUUAUGUAGUAGUAGCAUAAACACACGUACCUUCUCAGAAGACUCUAACGAAAUGAUCGUUAAUACCAAUCAAUAUACCAAUGACAACUUUCGAAUUAAUAAAAAAACUUAUUUUUAUAUAAAAGAAAACAUGCUUUAUAUUAAAAAUAAUAUAAUAGGAAAAGUACUUUUAUUAUAUAUUAUGAAAUAUAUAUUCAGCAAUUUAGAUAAUAAUCUGUUAUAUGCUCAUUCUGAUUUAAUUAGUGAAAAUUUGAUAUUAAUUUCACAUAGUAUGAUAACUAAUUUUAUUCAUACGAUAGGCACAUGCAAAUAUAUAGAUGAGUUUUGUAUGUUUAUGUUAGCUAAAUAUGUACAAAAUAAUGUACAUAUGUAUACACCUAAUGAAUUAAAUAUAAUAGUAAAUACAUAUGCUGAUGCAGCAUUAGAAGAUGUUAGUUUUUAUGAAACUGUAUGUGACCACAUAAAAAAAUGUUUUCAUAUGUUUACUUCUACAGACCUAAUAAAAAUAUUAUAUGCUUUUUCGAAAGUUAGAAUACGCGAUUUGGAUUUAUUAAAAAUGUCAUGUGGCAAAAUUGGUAAAUAUAUUGAAGAUAGAGAAUCACGGAUGUAUUCGGGAAGUAGUGGGAGUAGUGGUAGUAGCGGUAGUAGCGGUAGUAGCGGUAGUAGCGACAGAAACGACUAUACAACGAUUAACGAACUGACUAUUAACAAAUUACCCAAACACAAAUACAAAAUGCCAAACAAAAAAAUAAUAAAAAAAAAUGUUAUUAAUAAAUACUUGUGUGCAUAUGCUAUUGUUGCUUUUGGUAAGUUAGACUAUCCUAUAAAAAUGAAUAAAUUAUUUUUAUAUUUAAAAGAGAGUAUAAAAAAUGAUGGCAUAGACAUAAGAGGUAUAUUAUGGAUGCCAAUUGUAAUACCAAAUUUUUUAACAUAUGAAUGUAUAUUUGAGUUUUUGCCUAUAUAUAUACAAUUAAUUUAUGAUGCUUUUAUAAAAACUAAAUCAAUUCGACUUUUAACUUUAUUAACAAGAAGGCAUCACAUUUUAUUACAUACUAUUGAAACAAAUAUAAUUCCGAAGAAAUAUAUAAAUAAAAAAACUUUAAAAAAUUUGUAUUUUAUAUGUAAGAAUAAUAAAGAUUCAUAUAAAGAAAAAACCUUUACUCCUGACAGUUCUACGUUUCACAUCGAAGUGUCAAAUGCGUUACUAUCAUUGGACAUUCCCCACAAAAAAGAAGUGAAUGUUUAUCCUUUUACAAUUGACAUUUUUAUUAAUCCAGGGAUUGAAGGGAAUACUACAGACACAACUGUUUUAAUCGAUGAGCACGAUCAACCAAUCACCACUAUGGACUACAAAAACGGACGACUGGGUAUUGGCAAUAA